ACUUCCUAAAUGCUGCUUGCACGUGUCAGCUCUUAGGCAAGGUGGGAUCCACUUGGAGAGACCAUCUGCAACUCAAGUCAUCAGAACAGGCAGCUGGAAGUGUCUUUCCCUCACUGUGAGCUGCUUCUCCCUGCUGCCUGGUGCUCACUCAAGAGUGCUUGUGAAGAGAGGCCUGGCUCAGACGAGGACACAAAUCCCCUUCACCAGGGAACCUUGUGCCUUCAGGGUAGCUGAGCCGCCGCGACCACCACGAACUGCUUCAGCCGCGAGCAGCCACCAGGUGGAGAAGCGCAGGGCAGCACCGCUCCCCAGCCUCGGCAGCGCUUCCAUGCCCGCCCCACGGGUCUCCAGCAGCCUCCGGAGGCCCUCGGCUGCUCCCUACAGUGCAAAGCAGAGCCCACGGGUCGGGAGAGCUGCAAGUAACCAGAGAAACCCCAGAAACUUGAGUUUCCCAAUCAGCUCAGUUUCUCACACUGGAGAAAAUCUUCACUCUGACUUCUGACUUGUGCCCAACAGCUGUGCAUUGUUUUGAUGCUGAGGCCAUAGGGAUCAGUGCCCAGGAUUAAGAUCCUGAGACCUGGAGUGAAAGUAAUUUAAGAAAUUAUUUAACAGAUACCUUGUCUCAGGAGAAAAGAGAAUAUGAGCUCAGUAUAUCAGCAGUAACAUUGUUAAAAAUUCAGUUCCUAUGCAGUUUUGAUGCCAGUUGUCUCAUUUCUUUACAUGCUGACCUCUUUUCUCUAAAGAAGCUCCCUCUGAAGCUGCCCACUCUCAGUGCUACCACCUGUGUUGUGUGUUCCAUCUCCCAUUCCCUUUCAAACUCUCUGCUUGGUUUGCUCUCCUCUUCUUGCCUGUGGAAGUCAAGGAGCACAUGCAAAACCCCUCAGCUUGCUCCGGGGGUGUUGCAGGAAGGGCCAGGACUCUCCACCGACAAAAAUGCAGUGAAGAUCAGAAAAUGUUUGCUGUCCAAAAUGGGAUAGCAAAUAAAAAACACGCUUUAAGCAGCAUUAACCAUUCGGAUGCAAUCACCAAGGAUGGCUGUUUUGCUAAUGCCUAUCAUCACUAAAGGAACAUAUUAAUAACGUUGAUGAAAUCCCCUUCAGAUCUUAUUAUUAUUAUGUUAAAUAAAGCUUAGCCUAUUUAUGACAGCAAAGCUUGUUUGUUAGUCACAAAGUGUUUUGUUUGUUUGUUGAGGUUUCAGGGGGUUGUUUGGGAAAAUUGUGAUCAGCGUGCUUUUGAUUAGCAUCGCUAAGAGGCACUUUAGCUUAAUGAAAUGAUUAAUUGAUUCAUCCAGGUAUGCAGCCACACUAACAGCUGCUUCAACACAUACAAAAGAUUCCCCUUAAAAUACGACCUUGCCUCACUAACGUGAGGCAGUACCCAUGGAUACAUGUUAAUUAUAAGGUUGACAGGAAUAUGUAAGGAUAGCUAAUGCUGUAGCUGAAUUAUUUAAUGAAGACUAUGGAAGAAAGUCACGAAAUGGAAACGAAAUCAUCAGCCAAACAGGAAACCGUGGGCUGUAAUCUACCUCAAAUCACCUUAAUCUACCAAUGAUAAUCAAUUUCUCUUGAAUUAUAGCAGCAAGGAAGCUGGAAUGUAAUGGCUUAAUUCCUGCAUUAUAGAUUGUUUGAAAAUGGAGUAAUUACACAAGUUCAAGCCACAGUUUAACAGAUCCCUGUUGUCUUAAUAAGUAUUUGCUUUCUAUUUUCUUGCCUACUUUUUAUGCAACACUACCUGUAGCCUAAAAGCUCUAUAAAUACAGAUUCUGGUAAACAUACACAAGCUCAUAGCAUGGUAAAUGGAAGCCUAACAACCUUUUAAAAUCCCAGUGAUUACUAUAUAUAAAAUGCAUGUAGUCUUAAAGACAGAACUUCAGAUUUUUGUGGUGAAAGAAAAAAUAAUUGCAUGCAUGGUAUACCAUGAGACACAGAACAAUAAGGACAGGAGAGAGGCACAGCAAAUUGAAGACAACACCGAGACCAGCGGAGGAUGGCAUGUCAGGGGACCCUGUCUGAGAACAGAAGCCCAUGUUAGGAUGCCCGAGCCACCACAGGUGGCUCGAUAACGCUGCCUAGCAUAUGAAUGUAAUCAGCUGGAAUGAAGCAAAAGCAUUCAACAACCUCUGCAGAGGCUAGGUGGCAGCAUUGGCACAUGCUCCGAGGCACAGGCAAGCUACUGCCUGUGUUACACACAGUGGGCUCAAAUUGUGAGUCCUCCAUUUAGAGGAAUCAGGUUUAGAUCUCCUCUUUUGUCAUCUGAAAUAGGUUGCUUAUGAUCUGUGAAACUUUAGACUGAAGACCAGCAACCACCCAACUAAAGAGCGAAAGGAACAGCCAAAAAGUCUUAACCAGUGUUUCCCAAGCAGAAAUAAUUUAUCAUUUAACAGUGUAAAGGUGUUUGUUGUUUUUUGUUUGUAUUUUUUGUUUGUUUGUUUUGGCUGUACACAUUUCUGUAUGUUGGUAGAUUGAUUUAUUAGUGACACACUACCAAAUGAGCUUGUCACUAAAGGGAAUGUGCAUUACUGGAAAUGAGUAUUUACAUUCAAAUGAAAUACAGAGAGGUGGAGGGCUUUGCCACAGACACUGAAAGAGAUUAAUGGUUAAAAAGAUAAAGACCUUCAAAGACCGUAUGUUGCCCAAAGCAAGCUUUAAUGAAUUUUGUUGUGGUUCAGUGAA
This is a long non-coding RNA of Oxyura jamaicensis (ruddy duck), 2672 nucleotides long. RefSeq lists it as uncharacterized. Lineage: Eukaryota; Metazoa; Chordata; Aves; Anseriformes; Anatidae. The record is from RefSeq and is a predicted model, not a curated record. The transcript is spliced from 2 exons.